Molecule: long non-coding RNA, 377 nt
Filed under: Mus spicilegus (steppe mouse)
Lineage: Eukaryota; Metazoa; Chordata; Mammalia; Rodentia; Muridae
Description: lncRNA (ENSMSIG00000024352.1)
Source: RNAcentral
CAAAGAACUUCUCCUGAUAUUCCAAAGGUUUCUUGCCACUUCCAAGAACUCAGGCAGAUUGGCUGAUUGAUCCAGAAGAAAAGUCUAUCAAAUGGAUCCGGGAUAGGAAUGAAGCUCCUGCCCCCAAUUCUGCUCUGUUGAGAUCACUGCAGUAGCCACCACCACUCACAUCUCUAUCUGAAAUGUCACUGAGAUGCCAGCACACAGGUCCAGGAGGUUCUCCUUGUGCUCAAUGGACAACCACCGCCCUCUAGUGGCCACACGAUGCAGCAUCAUCUACUCAGGAAGAGAUGGAACUCAGAAUGCUGGUUACCAGGUAACCAGAGGCCAGCAGUAGCCUUACCUGACUUACUUGUCUGGAGGACCUAGAGGGAACA